RNAcentral lists this long non-coding RNA (1726 nucleotides) under Citrus x clementina. RNAcentral describes it as "Citrus clementina (C. clementina) long non-coding RNA (CCLE_LNC001115)". The record is from RNAcentral. Lineage: Eukaryota; Viridiplantae; Streptophyta; Magnoliopsida; Sapindales; Rutaceae.
AUGGCAAUCCCUAACUUUUUCUCAUAAUUUUUCAAUUAAUCGUGAAUAAAUGAAUUACUAAUUAAUUAAACAAUUAAAGGUGUUCAUAUUCCUAACAUCAAAAAACUACCAAGAGUAAAACAGUAAGAUCAGUAAAAAAAGAUUGACACUAAGGGGAUUGCAAUAUGUUUUAAAAUAUCGGAGGAGUUUCGAUCAGUUUUGUUGAACGGCAGAAAGAUUUUGCUCUUUUUCUCUGGCUGAUGUGUCUAUAACUUCCAAAUGUGGUUAAUAAAUUAAUUUAUCUUAAUAGUAACUAAAUCGCCAUCUUAGUCAUAUAAGUGGGCUUUGUAUAUCAUGAAAUCAAUAGUGAAACAACAAAAUAUAGCUGCUCCAAUUUCAAAUUUCUCUUUCUUACAAUUUCUUUGUUGACAUCAAGAGUUAUUAGCCCGAGUUCUACUAACAUGCAAACCUUCCUAGGCGAGACUUUCGAUUGAUAAAUUGAGAAAUAUCAUACAUCCAUGACUAAAUUAAAUUAGAGUCUAAUAGAUUAUUUUGCAAUCAACUAGAUAAUGAUUCAGAUUUUUUUUUUCAAAUUGUGUUCAUGUCCUCGUAUGAUUUCUUUGUCCUGUAAGAAUCCAACGCCUGUGUUUUAAUUUGACCCUCACAUAUCUUUAAAGAAACGAUACAGUUACAAAAACAAUUAAUGUCAUCAAUUUUCAGGACCUCUUGAGUUAAAGUCAAGUUUUAGAUUAUGAUCCCUUGACUCGAAAAGUAUCAUAGAAGAUUUCAAAAUGUCAUGGGAUAAAUAUGUUGCUCAGCAAUCCGUGCUAUACUUAGACAACUUCUACAAUUGUCAUUAGUUUUCUUCCCGUUCUAGCCAACUUUGUUAUCUAGGAGGUAUCUCCACUUCACUAAAUACUCAUUGUAAGCUGGUACACUCCUUAUUCGAGUGACCCGAUUGGUAAGGAUGCAUUCCACAUCUUCGUUAAACACAGAGACAAUGGCGAUUAGGGCACGUCUUGACUCUCCCAACUUGGGUCUCCUACAUCUCCGUGAUACAACUUGAGCAGACUUACAUGGAAGACCAGAUGAAUAUUAAGUCUUGGCGGAAGUUGGAGUUGAUAUAGGACAUUGUCCACAUGUCGGACAAUUGAUAAGGACCCUUCAUAUCUCCUUACUAGCCCCUUGAGGACUUUCUGCAAAGUCUUAAACUGCUGGGGUAGGAGCUUGAUCAUGACUUGAUCGCAUUCCUUGUACUCGACAUGGCGUCUCUUUAAGUUAGCUCACUUUUUCAUCUUCCGUGUGGCUUUGCCAAGAUAUGCUCACGUGAUGUCCACUUUCUCAUGCCAUUUACAUGUGGCUUGUAAGCCGUAGGGCUUUUCCCUCUGUAUGUUUAGGCUAUGGCAUUGUGCAUCAUGGGCUAGAAUCCCCUGAUGAUCUCAAACAGACUCUUGCUUAUAGCCUCGCUUCGCUGAAGAUUGUACACAAAUUGGGCAAUAUCCAGUAAUUUUGCGUAAUCUCGCUGAUGAGUGCUCACAUAGUGUCUUAAAUACAUCUCAAUAGGGUUGGCAAUAAAUUCCGGAUCCGGCUCGGAUCCACAAAGAUCCAGAAGAUCCAGAUCUGGAAAAAUCCGGAUCCGCAUGUUAAAAAAUGAGGAUCUGGAUCUUAAAAAUUAAGAUCCGUGUGGAUCCGGAUGCGGAUGCAAGUGCAUCCGGAAAAUCGGAUAUCCGGAUCCGCAUUAUUUUAU